Long non-coding RNA from Triticum dicoccoides, 700 nucleotides. RefSeq lists it as uncharacterized. The transcript is spliced from 4 exons. NCBI's taxonomy places the organism in Eukaryota, Viridiplantae, Streptophyta, Magnoliopsida, Poales, Poaceae. The record is from RefSeq and is a predicted model, not a curated record.
CCGCCACCCUAGACCGUUCACCUCUGCCACCACUGCCUGUUCAACGCGGCCUCGACAACCUGGCGCAUGAACACCCUCUGUCAACUCCAAUGCGACUUUGUUUGUCUCAACUUCAAAACAUGUUCAGUUCAGAACUUGACAUGGAGGGUGUACUGAUGAUACCUAGCCGAAUGAAGCUCUGAGCUAUAUCCUGAGGAAACAAGAGGGAGUGUCAACACUGAUACAGGGAGAUGCACACCAAACCCGCCGCCCGAGGCCGUGUACCAUCGCAGCGCCCCUUCCCCAGCCAUCGUGAGGUCAACCUCCUGGGAUACAUGAAGUUUCAGUUCGUCGAGAGGCUUCUUGGAGUUGCAGAUUGUAUAUUAUGGCAAAGACUCUAUUUCAAUGGGAGGUUCAACCAGAGGAGUUCAAAACACAAGAACUCUAGGAGUUCGCAAAACAAAAUCUACUAUGAGAGUUUGCACUUGUGUGUGCAGUGCAUGUGUUAGGUGUAUGUUUUUUCGGUAUGAUCUGGACACUUAAGAAAGAAAACACAAGGACUCGGUCCAUGUAUAAUUUUCUACUGUUUUUGCACUAAAAUCUUUGGUCUGAAAUGUAUGAGUUUUGUACAAUUUUUGGUUUUGUAUGUUGUAGCUGUAACAUGUGACUUAUAGCACCACUGUUUAUCGGAAGAAAAAUCCAAUUACAGCCUCUGCAGUUA